GACGGUAUAGCUCAAUGGUAGAGCAUGUGCCUAGCAUGCAUGAGGUCCUGGGUUCAAUCCCCACUACCUCCA
This 72-nucleotide transfer RNA is filed under the name Camelus bactrianus (Bactrian camel). It matches the Rfam family "tRNA". Rfam says of the family: Transfer RNA (tRNA) molecules are approximately 80 nucleotides in length. Their secondary structure includes four short double-helical elements and three loops (D, anti-codon, and T loops). Further hydrogen bonds mediate the characteristic L-shaped molecular structure. tRNAs have two regions of fundamental functional importance: the anti-codon, which is responsible for specific mRNA codon recognition, and the 3' end, to which the tRNAs corresponding amino acid is attached (by aminoacyl-tRNA synthetases). tRNAs cope with the degeneracy of the genetic code in two manners: having more than one tRNA (with a specific anti-codon) for a particular amino acid; and 'wobble' base-pairing, i.e. permitting non-standard base-pairing at the 3rd anti-codon position. The record is from Rfam by way of RNAcentral. Lineage: Eukaryota; Metazoa; Chordata; Mammalia; Artiodactyla; Camelidae. RNAcentral also lists the same sequence under 2 other names.